This 61-nucleotide transfer RNA is filed under the name Allonychiurus kimi. RNAcentral's name for it is "tRNA-Gly". The record is from RNAcentral. Lineage: Eukaryota; Metazoa; Arthropoda; Collembola; Poduromorpha; Onychiuridae.
AUAUUUUUAGUAUAAAUAGUACCUAAAGCUUCCAACUUUAAAGUUUCUUAGAAAAAAUAUA